RNAcentral lists this ribosomal RNA (667 nucleotides) under uncultured bacterium. RNAcentral's name for it is "bacterial SSU rRNA". It matches the Rfam family "Bacterial small subunit ribosomal RNA", at positions 111 to 794 of the family's 1533-position model. The record is from RNAcentral.
UAACGCGUGGGUAACCUGCCUUGCACUGGGGGAUAACACUUAGAAAUAGGUGCUAAUACCGCAUAACAGUAGGAGACGCAUGUCUUUUACUUGAAAACUCCGGUGGUGUAAGAUGGACCCGCGUCUGAUUAGCUUGUUGGCGGGGUAACGGCCCACCAAGGCAACGAUCAGUAGCCGGCCUGAGAGGGUGAACGGCCACAUUGGGACUGAGACACGGCCCAAACUCCUACGGGAGGCAGCAGUGGGGAAUAUUGGACAAUGGGGGGAACCCUGAUCCAGCGACGCCGCGUGAGUGAAGAAGUAUUUCGGUAUGUAAAGCUCUAUCAGCAGGGAAGAAAGAAAUGACGGUACCUGACUAAGAAGCCCCGGCUAACUACGUGCCAGCAGCCGCGGUAAUACGUAGGGGGCAAGCGUUAUCCGGAUUUACUGGGUGUAAAGGGAGCGUAGACGGCGAUGCAAGUCUGAAGUGAAAGGCGGGGGCCCAACCCCCGGACUGCUUUGGAAACUGUAUGGCUGGAGUGCAGGAGAGGUAAGUGGAAUUCCUAGUGUAGCGGUGAAAUGCGUAGAUAUUAGGAGGAACACCAGUGGCGAAGGCGGCUUACUGGACUGUAACUGACGUUGAGGCUCGAAAGCGUGGGGAGCAAACAGGAUUAGAUACUCUGGUAGU